RNAcentral lists this ribosomal RNA (502 nucleotides) under uncultured bacterium. RNAcentral's name for it is "partial 16S ribosomal RNA". It matches the Rfam family "Bacterial small subunit ribosomal RNA", at positions 30 to 523 of the family's 1533-position model. The record is from RNAcentral.
AUUGAACGCUGGCGGCAGGCUUAACACAUGCAAGUCGAGCGGGGUGAUGGUGCUUGCACUAUCACUUAGCGGCGGACGGGUGAGUAAUGCUUAGGAAUCUGCCUAUUAGUGGGGGACAACAUCUCGAAAGGGAUGCUAAUACCGCAUACGUCCUACGGGAGAAAGCAGGGGAUCACUUGUGACCUUGCGCUAAUAGAUGAGCCUAAGUCGGAUUAGCUAGUUGGUGGGGUAAAGGCCUACCAAGGCGACGAUCUGUAGCGGGUCUGAGAGGAUGAUCCGCCACACUGGGACUCCGACACGGCCCAGACUCCUACGGGAGUCAGCAGUGGGGAAUAUAGGACAAUGGGGGGAACCCUGAUCCAGCCAUGCCGCGGGUGUGAAGAAGGCCUUAUGGUUGUAAAGCACUUUCAGCGAGGAGGAAAGGUUGGCGCCUAAUACGUGUCAACUGUGACGUUACUCGCAGAAGAAGCACCGGCUAACUCCGUGCCAGCAGCCGCCGUAA